UUCUGCUGCUCCGCAUUUUCCCUUUGAGGGGUUUUUGCGCUGUGGCUUAUUUCGGACUGUGUUUUGCACUGUCCGGAUGUUUACUUUGAGAAAAUUAGAGUGCUCAAAGCAGGCUUUUGCCUUGAAUAGUUUAGCAUGGAAUAAUAAAGUAGGACUUUGGUUCUAUUUUGUUGGUUUUAGGUACCAAAGUAAUGGUUAAUAGGAACAGUUGGGGGCAUUCGUAUUUAACUGUCAGAGGUGAAAUUCUUAGAUUUGUUAAAGACGAACUACUGCGAAAGCAUUUGCCAAGGAUGUUUUCAUUAAUCAAGAACGAAAGUUAGGGGAUCGAAGACGAUCAGAUACCGUCGUAGUCCUAACCAUAAACUAUGCCGACUAGAGAUUGGAGGUCGUCAGUUUUUACGACUCCUUCAGCACCUUGAGAGAAAUCAAAGUCUUUGGGUUCUGGGGGGA
This 450-nucleotide ribosomal RNA is filed under the name Theileria cervi. RNAcentral describes it as "SSU rRNA". It matches the Rfam family "Eukaryotic small subunit ribosomal RNA", at positions 672 to 1122 of the family's 1831-position model. Lineage: Eukaryota; Apicomplexa; Aconoidasida; Piroplasmida; Theileriidae. The record is from RNAcentral.